This 367-nucleotide ribosomal RNA is filed under the name uncultured organism. Its description in RNAcentral is "partial 16S ribosomal RNA". It matches the Rfam family "Bacterial small subunit ribosomal RNA", at positions 527 to 895 of the family's 1533-position model. The record is from RNAcentral.
AGAGAGUGCAAGCGUUAAUCGGAAUCACUGGGCGUAAAGCGCGCGUAGGUGGAUACUUUAGUCGGAUGUGAAAGCCCCGGGCUUAACCUGGGAAUUGCACUCGAUACUGGGUAUCUAGAGUAUGGUAGAGGGAAGUGGAAUUUCCGGUGUAGCGGUGAAAUGCGUAGAUAUCGGAAAGAACAUCAGUGGCGAAGGCGGCUUCCUGGACUAAUACUGACACUGAGGUGCGAAAGCGUGGGGGAGCAAACAGGAUUAGAGACCCUGGUAGUCCACGCCGUCAACGAUGAGAACUAGACGUUGGGAGGGUAACCUCUUAGUGUCGAAGCUAACGCGUUAAGUUCUCGCCUGGGGAUACGGCCGCAAGGUU